GCCAGCGUCGCAUAACCCGGUAUUGCGUCGGCCUUGAGAGCCGAUUUCCUAACGGAUAUCCCGGUCAGUUUGAUGUAAGAGCAUCAACUGGGGAAAUUCAAAUCCGGGCGCUGGCG
This 116-nucleotide transfer RNA is filed under the name Candidatus Woesearchaeota archaeon. Its description in RNAcentral is "tRNA-Ser". It matches the Rfam family "tRNA". From Rfam's summary of the family: Transfer RNA (tRNA) molecules are approximately 80 nucleotides in length. The record is from RNAcentral. Lineage: Archaea; Nanobdellati; Candidatus Woesearchaeota.